Molecule: ribosomal RNA, 406 nt
Filed under: uncultured bacterium
Lineage: Bacteria
Description: bacterial SSU rRNA
Rfam family: Bacterial small subunit ribosomal RNA
Source: RNAcentral
CAAGGAAUCUUCCGCAAUGGGCGAAAGCCUGACGGAGCAACGCCGCGUGGGGGAUGAAGCCUUUCGGGGUGUAAACCUCUUUUCUCGGGGACGAAGAUCUGACGGUACCCGAGGAAUAAGGACCGGCUAACUACGUGCCAGCAGCCGCGGUAAUACGUAGGGUCCGAGCGUUGUCCGGAGUUACUGGGCGUAAAGCGCGCGCAGGUGGCGUCGCAAGUCUGGCGUGAAAGCCCCCGGCUCAACCGGGGAGGGUCGUCGGAUACUGCGGUGCUUGAGGGAGGCAGGGGUCGGUGGAAUGCCCGGUGUAGUGGUGAAAUGCGUAGAGAUCGGGCGGAACACCCGUGGCGAAGGCGGCCGACUGGGCCUAACCUGACACUGAGGCGCGAAGGCGUGGGGAGCGAACGGG